GAUAACGGCGUCGAGCGGCGGACGGGUGAGUAAUGCCUAGGAAAUUGCCCUGAUGUGGGGGAUAACCAUUGGAAACGAUGGCUAAUACCGCAUAAUGCCUACGGGCCAAAGAGGGGGACCUUCGGGCCUCUCGCGUCAGGAUAUGCCUAGGUGGGAUUAGCUAGUUGGUGAGGUAAUGGCUCACCAAGGCGACGAUCCCUAGCUGGUCUGAGAGGAUGAUCAGCCACACUGGAACUGAGACACGGUCCAGACUCCUACGGGAGGCAGCAGUGGGGAAUAUUGCACAAUGGGCGCAAGCCUGAUGCAGCCAUGCCGCGUGUGUGAAGAAGGCCUUCGGGUUGUAAAGCACUUUCAGUCGUGAGGAAGGUGGUGUAGUUAAUAGCUGUAUCAUUUGACGUUAGCGACAGAAGAAGCACCGGCUAACUCCGUGCCAGCAGCCGCGGUAAUACGGAGGGUGCGAGCGUUAAUCGGAAUUACUGGGCGUAAAGCGCAUGCAGGUGGUUUGUUAAGUCAGAUGUGAAAGCCCGGGGCUCAACCUCGGAAUAGCAUUUGAAACUG
RNAcentral lists this ribosomal RNA (558 nucleotides) under Vibrio owensii. RNAcentral's name for it is "bacterial SSU rRNA". It matches the Rfam family "Bacterial small subunit ribosomal RNA", at positions 78 to 635 of the family's 1533-position model. The record is from RNAcentral. Lineage: Bacteria; Pseudomonadati; Pseudomonadota; Gammaproteobacteria; Vibrionales; Vibrionaceae.